CGUGUAGGCGGAUAGGUCAGUCGAGGGUGAAAUCCUACAGCUUAACUGUAGAAUUGCCUUUGAUACUGUUUAUCUUGAGUUCGGGAGAGGGAAGCGGAAUUCCUGGUGUAGCGGUGAAAUGCGUAGAUAUCAGGAAGAACACCGGUAGCGAAGGCAGCUUCCUGGCCCGAUACUGACGCUGAAGCGCGAAAGCGUGGGGAGCAAACA
This 207-nucleotide ribosomal RNA is filed under the name uncultured bacterium. RNAcentral describes it as "partial 16S ribosomal RNA". It matches the Rfam family "Bacterial small subunit ribosomal RNA", at positions 568 to 774 of the family's 1533-position model. The record is from RNAcentral.